This 1237-nucleotide unclassified non-coding RNA is filed under the name Orbicella faveolata. RNAcentral's name for it is "radical S-adenosyl methionine domain-containing protein 1, mitochondrial-like, transcript variant X3". The record is from RNAcentral. Lineage: Eukaryota; Metazoa; Cnidaria; Anthozoa; Scleractinia; Merulinidae.
GUGCAAAGUGCCUGCAGUUGUUGAAACUUUGGCAGACCAAGCUUGCGAUCAUAACUUCCAGAUUAUAUCAUGAAAAAGGCUUGAGAUCGAACCCAAUGAGCGUCACGUCAAGAUGCAAACUACUCACAUCCCGGUUGCUUUCAAAAAUAGGUGAUACUAGUACAACGCGUCGAUAUUGUUUAAUAAACACAAUCCGAUUUCUUUCCAAUCCAAGAGAUCAUAGAGAUCAUAGCUGCAGUGAGAACGAUGAAGCUACGUUGUAUGUUCAUUGGCCAUUCUGCAGGCAGAUCUGUACAUUUUGCAAUUUUAACAAAUAUUUAAGUAACAAUGUGAACCAUCAGCGUAUGCGGAAAUGCCUUGUGACAGAAACAGAAACCCUGUUACAUUUGUCUGGUGUGAAAAGGAUUUCCUCAGUUUACUUUGGUGGAGGUACACCCAGUCUAGCAGAGCCUUUGACAAUCUCCUCAGUGCUGGAAACUGCAGCUAGGAUUUGCCAUUUGUCAAAUGAAGCCGAAGUGACGCUUGAGGCUAAUCCCACCUCAGCUGAAACUGACAACCUCAGACAUUUCUAUACAGCUGGGAUCAAUCGGCUUUCACUCGGAGUCCAGGCCUUCAGUGUGAGAGAUUUGACUGUAUUGGGGAGAGAUAACACCAUUAAAGAUUCACUGCAAGCAUUACAGACUGCAAGAUCCAUAUUCCCUGGGAAAGUUUCAAUUGACCUAAUGUUUGGGCAACCACACCAAACACUAGAUGACUGGAACAAGGAGCUGUCCCAUGCGUUAUCUGUGUGCGAUGAUCAUAUUUCAUUAUAUCAACUGACUCUUGAGAGAGGUACACCACUUUUUAAGAGUGUCAAAUCAGGAAAAUUGCCACUUCCUAAUCCUGAUGUUGUAGCUGAAAUGUACCAGUUGGCUGUAGAGACUUUGAUUGCAAAUGGAUUCCACAGAUAUGAAGUGGCAAACUUUGCAAGACCAGGUGCAGAGAGUAGGCAUAACCUGUCUUACUGGAAUGGCACUCAGUACAUUGGAGUGGGGCCAGGGGCCCAUGGCAGAUUUCAAAUGCUGUUAGAAGGGCUUGAAAGACUUCAACUUUAUGGUGUAUGAGCAAACUGAAUAUACAUCACUUGAAGGGGUAUUGUGCAGAAUAAAGACCUGUUAUUUGUUCCUUAUGGAAGUGGAAGUGAAACACGACAAGCAAGAGUGCAGACACUAGAACCAAACCAAUGGAUGAAAGAGGC